RNAcentral lists this ribosomal RNA (440 nucleotides) under uncultured bacterium. Its description in RNAcentral is "partial 16S ribosomal RNA". It matches the Rfam family "Bacterial small subunit ribosomal RNA", at positions 338 to 795 of the family's 1533-position model. The record is from RNAcentral.
CCUACGGGAGGCAGCAGUGGGGAAUAUUGCACAAUGGGGGAAACCCUGAUGCAGCGACGCCGCGUGAAGGCAGAAGUCUUUCGGUAUGUAAACUUCUAUCAGCAGGGAAGACAAUGACGGUACCUGACUAAGAAGCUCAGGCUAAAUACGUGCCAGCAGCCGCGGUAAUACGUCGGGGGCGAGCGUUAUCCGGAUUUACUGGGUGUCAAGGGAGCGUAGGCGGUGCAGCAAGUCAGAUGUGAAAGCUCGGGGCUCAAUUCCGGGAGUGCUUUUGAAACUGUUAAUCUAGAGUACAGGAGAGGUGAGUGGAAUUCCUAGGGGAGCGGUGAAAUGCGUAGAUAUUAGGAGGAACACCAGUGGCGAAGGCGGCUUACUGGACUGUAAAUGACGCUGAGGCUCGAAAGCGUGGGGAGCAAACAGGAGUAGAUACCCUUGUAGUC